AGGAGGAACAGCCCCAGUGGCGGGGCCAGCUCUGCAGCCCUGGAGUCAGCUCCCCGCAGUAGCUCCAGAGCUCUCCGUCUGCAGGGCCUGGAGGCUCCGGGCGGGG
This 106-nucleotide microRNA precursor is filed under the name Canis lupus dingo (dingo). RNAcentral describes it as "mir-8834 microRNA precursor family". It matches the Rfam family "mir-8834 microRNA precursor family". Lineage: Eukaryota; Metazoa; Chordata; Mammalia; Carnivora; Canidae. The record is from Rfam by way of RNAcentral.